UACGUAGGGGGCAAGCGUUGUCCGGAUUUAUUGGGCGUAAAGAGCGUGUAGGCGGCCAGACAGGUCAGCUGUGAAAACUCGAGGCUCAACCUCGAGACGUCGGUUGAAACCGUCUGGCUAGAGUCCGGAAGAGGAGAGUGGAAUUCCCGGUGUAGCGGUGAAAUGCGCAGAUAUCGGGAGGAACACCAAUUGCGAAGGCAGCUCGCUGGGACGUUACUGACGCUGAGACGCGAAAGCGUGGGGAGCAAACAGG
This 253-nucleotide ribosomal RNA is filed under the name uncultured bacterium. Its description in RNAcentral is "partial 16S ribosomal RNA". It matches the Rfam family "Bacterial small subunit ribosomal RNA", at positions 524 to 776 of the family's 1533-position model. The record is from RNAcentral.